AAAAGCACUUUGAAAAGAGAGUGCAAGAGAACGUGAAAUCGAUGUAAUGGAAGCGAGUGGAGUCGACGUAUCUUGCGCGUAUUCAUCCGUCGGCUGGGGUGGUGGUAUGGUUGCUAUUCCGAAUAGGUUAGUGGCUGUGCCUGCUGCUUUGGUUGGCGGUGCAUUUGCGUGCGGAGUGCGCUGGAACAGUUGGAGUUGCGGUUGGAUGUGUGCUUAGAGGCCCGGCUUCGGUUGGAAACCUUGGUGCGCGGAAGGCUGUUGACGCUGGCUGAGAGUCCUCGGACGUUCCGGUGUCUUGUCGAUGACCCAUUCGACCCGUCUUGAAACACGGACCAAGGAGUUUAAGGUGUACGCGAGUCAAAGGGCUUUGAAACCCCAAGGCGCAAUGAAAGUGAGGCACAGAGUGUCUUAGACGUGAUCGGUCGGUCAAACGGCUGAGCAGCGUCGCUCCGUAUCUGGUACUUGUACUGGUGCGGCAGCUGAGCGUACGCUUUGAGACCCGAAAGAUGGUGAACUAUGCCUGUACAGAACGAAGCCGGAGGAAACUCUGGUGGAAGUUCGAAGCGGUUCUGACGUGCAAAUCGAUCGUCUGAUAUAGGUAUAGGGGCGAAAGACUAAUCGAACCAUC
Molecule: ribosomal RNA, 628 nt
Filed under: Basilaphelenchus brevistylus
Lineage: Eukaryota; Metazoa; Nematoda; Chromadorea; Rhabditida; Aphelenchoididae
Description: partial large subunit ribosomal RNA
Rfam family: Eukaryotic large subunit ribosomal RNA
Source: RNAcentral